Molecule: unclassified non-coding RNA, 332 nt
Filed under: soil metagenome
Description: partial contains 5.8S ribosomal RNA, internal transcribed spacer 2, and large subunit ribosomal RNA
Rfam family: 5.8S ribosomal RNA (bases 1-120)
Source: RNAcentral
GAUGAAGAACGUAGGCAAAUGCGAUAAGUAAUGUGAAUUGCAGAAUUCAGUGAAUCAUCGAAUCUUUGAACGCACAUUGCGCCCGCCAGUAUUCUGGCGGGCAUGCCUGUUCGAGCGUCAUUUCAACCCUCAAGCACAGCUUGGUGUUGGGACUCGCGUUAAUUCGCGUUCCCCAAAUUGAUUGGCGGUCACGUCGAGCUUCCAUAGCGUAGUAGUAAAACCCUCGUUACUGGUAAUCGUCGCGGCCACGCCGUUAAACCCCAACUUCUGAAUGUUGACCUCGGAUCAGGUAGGAAUACCCGCUGAACUUAAGCAUAUCAAUAAGCGGAGGA